RNAcentral lists this ribosomal RNA (487 nucleotides) under uncultured bacterium. RNAcentral describes it as "bacterial SSU rRNA". It matches the Rfam family "Bacterial small subunit ribosomal RNA", at positions 28 to 506 of the family's 1533-position model. The record is from RNAcentral.
GAUGAACGCUAGCGGCAGGCUUAACACAUGCAAGUCGAGGGGCAGCGAGAUUGUUAGCAAUAACGAUUGUCGGCGACCGGCGCAAGGGUGCGUAACGCGUGAGCAACUUGCCCUCAUCAGGGGGAUAACCGUUGGAAACGACGACUAAUACCCCAUAGCAUCACAUUGAGGCAUCUUGGUGUGAUUAAAGAAAUUCGGAUGAGGAUAGGCUCGCGUGACAUUAGCUAGACGGCGGGGUAACGGCCCACCGUGGCUACGAUGUCUAGGGGUUCUGAGAGGAAGGUCCCCCACACUGGAACUGAGACACGGUCCAGACUCCUACGGGAGGCAGCAGUGAGGAAUAUUGGUCAAUGGUCGAGAGACUGAACCAGCCAUGCCGCGUGAAGGAGACGGCCCUAUGGGUCUUAAACUUCUUUUGUAAGGGAGCAAUAAGGAUCACGUGUGGUCUGAUGAGAGUACCUUACGAAUAAGCAUCGGCUAACUCCGU